Molecule: ribosomal RNA, 361 nt
Filed under: uncultured bacterium
Lineage: Bacteria
Description: bacterial SSU rRNA
Rfam family: Bacterial small subunit ribosomal RNA
Source: RNAcentral
AGAGUUUGAUCAUGGCUCAGGAUUAACGCUGGCGGCGUGCAUAACACAUGCAAGUCGAACGAUGAAACUUAGUAGACUUCUUCGGAAAGACACUAAGCGGAUUAGUGGCGAACGGGUGAGUAACGCGUGAGUAACCUGCCUUACACAAGGGGAUAGCCUUUGGAAACGAAGAAUAAUACCCUAUAAAACCAUAAAAGCACAUGCUAGAAUGGUCAAAGUGCUAGCGGUGUAAGAUGGACUUGCGUCUGAUUAGCUAGUUGGUGAGAUAAAAGCUCACCAAGGCAACGAUCAGUAGCCGGCUUGAGAGAGUGUACGGCCACAUUGGGACUGAGACACGGCCCAGACUCCUACGGGAGGCAGC